Non-coding RNA from Hordeum vulgare subsp. vulgare (domesticated barley), 116 nucleotides. Lineage: Eukaryota; Viridiplantae; Streptophyta; Magnoliopsida; Poales; Poaceae. The record is from Rfam.
AUAUUACUCCCUCCGUCCCAAAAUAAGUGACUCAAAAUUGAUUCAACUUUGUACUAAUGUUAGUACAAAAUUGAAUCAUUUUUGAGUCAUUUAUUUUGGCACGGAGGGAGUAUAUA